RNAcentral lists this ribosomal RNA (429 nucleotides) under Gemmatimonadota bacterium. RNAcentral's name for it is "Gemmatimonadetes bacterium partial 16S ribosomal RNA". It matches the Rfam family "Bacterial small subunit ribosomal RNA", at positions 355 to 776 of the family's 1533-position model. Lineage: Bacteria; Pseudomonadati; Gemmatimonadota. The record is from RNAcentral.
UAGGGAAUCUUCGGCAAUGGACGAAAGUCUGACCGAGCAACGCCGCGUGAGUGAAGAAGGUUUUCGGAUCGUAAAACUCUGUUGUUAGAGAAGAACAAGGACGUUAGUAACUGAACGUCCCCUGACGGUAUCUAACCAGAAAGCCACGGCUAACUACGUGCCAGCAGUCGCGGUAAUACGUAGGUGGCAAGCGUUGUCCGGAUUUAUUGGGCGUAAAGCGAGCGCAGGCGGUUUCUUAAGUCUGAUGUGAAAGCCCCCGGCUCAACCGGGGAGGGUCAUUGGAAACUGGGAGACUUGAGUGCAGAAGAGGAGAGUGGAAUUCCAUGUGUAGCGGUGAAAUGCGUAGAUAUAUGGAGGAACACCAGUGGUGAAGGCGGCUCUCUGGUCUGUAACUGACGCUGAGGCUCGAAAGCGUGGGGAGCAAACAGG